UGGUCAAAGGAGCAUGUCGCCUGUGGAGGAGCCUGCCUUUGAUUAUCUAGUUGGUGGGGUAAAGGCCUACCAAGGCGAUGAUCAAUAGCUGGUUUGAGAGGAUGAUCAGCCACACUGGGACUGACACACGGCCCAAACUCCUACCGAAGGCAGCAGUGGGGAAUAUUGGACAAUGGGGGCAACCCUGAUCCAGCAAUGCCGCGUGUGUGAAGAAGGUCUUCUGAUUGUAAAGCACUUUCGACGGGGACGAUCAUGACGGUACCCGUAAAAGAAGCCCCGGCUAACUUCUUGCCAGCAGCCGCGGUAAUACGAAGGGGGCUAGUGUUGCUCGCAAUGACUGGUCGUAAAGGGCGUGUACGCGGUUUGUACAGUCAGAUGUGAAAUCCCCGGGCUUAACCUGGGAGCUGCAUUUGAUACGUGCAGACUAGAGUGUGAGAGAGGGUUGUGGAAUUCCCAGUGUAGAGGUGAAAUUCGUAGAUAUUGGGAAGAACACCGGCGGCGAAAGCUGCAACCUGACUCAUUACUGACACUGACGCGCGAAAGCGUGAGGAGCAUACAUGAUUAGAUACACUGGUAGUCCACGCUGUAACGAUGUGUGCUAGAUGAUGGGUGACUUAGUCAUUCGUGUCGCAAUAACACGUUAACACACCGACUGGAGAGUACAGCCGAAGGUUGUAACUCAAGGAAUUGACGCGGUCCGCACAGCGGUGGAGCAUGUAGUUUAUUCCAAGCAAGCGCAAACCUUACUGGAUUGAAUGUAUAGCUGCAGCAGAAAUGUUGUUUCCCCUAGGGACUCUACAAAGGUGCUGCAUAGCUGUCCCAGCUCGGAUCUGAGAGUUGGUUAAGUCCGCACCAGCUCACCCCUAUAUUAAUUGCAUCAGUUGGGCUGGCACUCUAGAAAACGCCGUUGACUACCGCAGAAGGGGGGAUGCCUAAGUCCUUUGCCCUUUUGUCUGGGCUACACGAGCUACAUGGCGUAACCGGGGAAGUAGGGGGGACCCAUGCUAUUCAAACCGCCUAGUCGAAUGGCCUCUAACUCGGUGCACUAGGGGGAUCCCUGAAUCCGGAACCCUUGCCCGGGUAAACUUUCCCGCCUUUAAACCCCCCUCAACCUUGGAAUUGUUUACCUUAACCGGGGACAACCAAAAAGCGCCGCCUUUCUGGCCCCCCUUGGGGAAGUUUACAGUCGG
RNAcentral lists this ribosomal RNA (1190 nucleotides) under Acetobacter pasteurianus. RNAcentral describes it as "bacterial SSU rRNA". It matches the Rfam family "Bacterial small subunit ribosomal RNA", at positions 198 to 1533 of the family's 1533-position model. The record is from RNAcentral. Lineage: Bacteria; Pseudomonadati; Pseudomonadota; Alphaproteobacteria; Acetobacterales; Acetobacteraceae.